CAGUCAGUCACUUCCGCAACAUGUGUGUGUAUAUGUUUGUUUCCAUUUCUGGGCGCUUAUAGUAGCCUACUUGGACAUGAAACCCCAUCCAUUCUCCUGGGGACGUGGGGCAGUUGGCUCGGGGGUCUUUGAUAUGCGACAACAUGGUCGCCCCCGUGGAAGAGUCUCAGAUGUCCAUGAUGGAUGGCCCCAGGUACUUCCGCUUGAGUCCUGUGACGGUGCGUUCCGAACUCUGACCGAGUUGACAAUGACUGCAAUGCGCUCAAGGUCCUCGACACCGAGCUGGGAGGCCAGUUGAACCGACGCACGGCUCCCGCUCUUCUCCUGGCCCAGCGUCACCCUCGCUUCGGCCCGGCUGACAGCUGCUAACCACCGCUUGCUGAGAGCGAUGCGGGUACUCCCCUCCGCGGUGAAGAACCACUCCGAGAGCCUGUACGCGUACAAGGUGCUGGAGGCCAUCGGCGGCUGCGUGAGGCUGACCAACGCCACACGCCCUCAAUGUGGGACAGAGGUAACCAAGGCGACCGCGUCUGGCUGGAAAGGCAACUGCAGCCCGCCGUUCCGGGGACCACGGAUAGGCGGUUGGUCCGGAGGGCCCUCUCCUUCCUGCCCAGGUCCCGAGGGACGGCCUGCCGGCUGCCCCUUGGAGGGUAGGGCAUUGGGGUCUGAUUCUUGGGUGCUUUUCAGCCGGACGACCGAAAGCCUGAGAAGACUUUGAAACAUGCAUGAUUGUACAGAGCCCCCCCGAUAAUUGGCAAUUCGUUUUCACUCAAGUGUGCGUCUAUGUAAAUGUCUCCUCGUUAAACACUUUGAAUAAACUUUAAUUCAGUCUGAGAUGGAAUUGAGGAUUAUGCUGCAACUAAAGUGUUACAAUAUUUCACUGUGAAUUACAUCGGAAGGCGAUACAAUAUAGGCUACCACAUACAAUUGACAUGAUUUUUUUUAAUGAGAAAUACACCAAACUGAAAAAAUUGUACAAAUUGAAAUAAAAUAAAAAACUUGCAUUAUU
Gadus macrocephalus (Pacific cod) is the source of this 1009-nucleotide long non-coding RNA. RefSeq lists it as uncharacterized. Lineage: Eukaryota; Metazoa; Chordata; Actinopteri; Gadiformes; Gadidae. The record is from RefSeq and is a predicted model, not a curated record. The transcript is spliced from 2 exons.